RNAcentral lists this transfer RNA (26 nucleotides) under Chlorostilbon lucidus pucherani. RNAcentral's name for it is "partial tRNA-Leu". Lineage: Eukaryota; Metazoa; Chordata; Aves; Apodiformes; Trochilidae. The record is from RNAcentral.
AACUUUUAAAGGAUAACAGCUAAUCC